UUGGAGGGCAAGUCUGGUGCCAGCAGCCGCGGUAAUUCCAGCUCCAAUAGCGUAUAUUAAAGUUGUUGCAGUUAAAAAGCUCGUAGUUGAAUUUCGAGACCGGCUUACUGGUCGUGCUAUUGUACGUACUGGUAUAAUCGGUUUCUCCUUUCUGACGAACUUUAAUGCCAUUAAUUUGGUGUUUUAGGGAAUCAGGACUGUUACUUUGAAAAAAUUAGAGUGUUUAAAGCAGGCUCACGCUUGAAUACAUUAGCAUGGAAUAACGGAAUAGGACGUUUGAUUCUAUUUUGUUGGUUUCUAGGAUCGACGUAAUGAUUAAUAGGGAUAGUCGGGGGCAUUAGUAUUCAAUUGUCAGAGGUGAAAUUCUUGGAUUUACUGAAGACUAACUACUGCGAAAGCAUUUGCCAAGGAUGUUUUCAUUAAUCAAGAACGAAAGUUAGGGGAUCGAAGACGAUCAGAUACCGUCGUAGUCUUAACCAUAAACUAUGCCGACUAGGGAUCGGAUGAUGUUAAUUUUUUAAUGACUCAUUCGGCGCCUUACGGGAAAC
Molecule: ribosomal RNA, 548 nt
Filed under: uncultured Glomus
Lineage: Eukaryota; Fungi; Glomeromycota; Glomeromycetes; Glomerales; Glomeraceae
Description: SSU rRNA
Rfam family: Eukaryotic small subunit ribosomal RNA
Source: RNAcentral